RNAcentral lists this long non-coding RNA (5074 nucleotides) under Homo sapiens (human). Its description in RNAcentral is "long non-coding RNA NONHSAT238268". The record is from RNAcentral. Lineage: Eukaryota; Metazoa; Chordata; Mammalia; Primates; Hominidae.
GAGCUGAGAUCGCGCCAUUGCACUCCAGCGUGGGUGACGAGCAAAACUCGGUCUCAAAAAAAAAAAAAAAAACAAGAGCCAGCAUUCUCACUGGUUCACUUGUUCAGUGAACAGGUAUUGCCGUGAAACGCCCCACAGGUGUGCCAGGUGGGGCUCAGAUGAAGCACAGGAAAUGGUGGCCGUGCCUCCCAUGGUUCCCCAGUGCCCUUCCUUGACUUUGGUUCUCAGCCAUGGCCACUUGUGGGAGUGUUGAUUGACGGGUCAGUGUCCUGCAGCUGCCAAAACAACACAAAUUUGCUCUCUUAGUUCCGGAGGCCAGAGUCCAAAGCUGGGCUUUCACCAGGGUAGUUUCCUUCUGGAGGCUCCGAAGGAGCAUCCGUGCCUUGCCUGCGUAGUGGCUGCGGUGCUCCUCGGCGCCCCUGGGCUGUGGCCUGCAAAGCCUGUUUCCACCUCCACCUUCACGCAGCUUCUCUCCUGUGCCUCUGUGUUCUCUUACAAGGACAUCUGUCGUUGAAAAUCCAGGAUGAUUCCUCAUUACAUCUGCAAAUGCCCUAUUUUCCAAACAAGGUCACUCUUGCUUGUUCCAGGGGUUAUAAUUUGGACACACCUUUUAGGGGCCGUCAUUUGACUACAACAAUUGAAUAAGAAACCCUAUAGUCCUGAGAAUAGAUGUGAAUUUUCUACAGAUGUUUUCCCAGCUGGCAGCCUAGGCUCCUUCGGUCAUGGAAGGAGCCUCGCACCCACCACCCUCCUCCGUGGCACAAACCUGCUGCACUUUGCUUGUGGGGAAAUGGGUCUUUAUUCCUGUGGAGGGCUAUGUGCGAUGCCUGGGAAAAGCUCGCAGCACGGCGUGUGCUUCAGGGUGGCUCGGGCUCCAGUCUCUGCUUUCCAGUGUGUCAUGGGCUCUCAACUGUACACAGCCUGUGCCCUGUUGGAUGCCACCUUUUUUUUUUUUUUUUUUGAGACAGAGUCUCACUCUCGCCCAGGCUGGAGUGUAGUGGUGCAAUCUCGGCGACUCACUGCAACCUCUGCCACCCAGGUUCAAGCAAUUCUCCUGCCUCAGCCUCCUGAGUAGCUGGGAUUACAGGCGCCUGCCACCGCACCCGGCUAAAUUUUGUAUUUUUAGUAGAGAUGGUUUCAUCAUCUUGGCCAGGCUGGUCUUGAACUCCUGACCUCGUGAUCACCUGCCUUGGCCUCCCAAAGUGCUGGGAUGACAGGCAUGAGCCACUGCGCCUGGCCUGGAUGCCACCUUCUUAGACACCACAUGAAUCCCCACUGCGCCUGGCCUGGAUGCCACCUUCUUAGACACCACAUGAAUCCCCAUGCACUGCUCCCCCUGCCUCUUACCACCACCAAACAGCUACUAGACACCUGAGGUGUCUGUCCUGUUAGUACCAUGGGGCGGAAAGAUACAAUACCUUUUUUCACCCAUAAGGGUGACAGCCAACACACCUAACAAACUACAGGUGAGCAAGAGAAAAGCAUUAACAAAUUUACUUAAUUAUUUGAGGCAAGCUCUCACUCUGUCUCCGAGACUGGAGCACAGUGGUGGGAUCACAGCUCACUGCAGCCUCAACCUCCCAAGCUCAGUCAAUCCUCCCACCUCAGCCUCCUGGGUAGCUGGGAUUACAGGCAUGCACCACCACGCCUAGCUAAUUUUUUGUAUUUUUGGUAGAAACGGGGUCUUGCUGUGUUGCCUAGGCUGGUCUUGAACUCCUUGCCUCAAUUGAUCCUUCUGCUUCAGCCCCCCAAAAUGCUGGGAUUACAGACAUGAGCCACCAUGCCCGGCCUAAAAGCAUAGCAAAUGUAUUAGUUUUACAUGACAGCCGGGCACGAUUGCUCACACCUGUAAUCCUAACACUUUGGGCGGCCAAGGUGGGCAGAUCGCUUGAGGCCAGAAGUUUGAGACCAGCCUGAGCAACAUGGUGAAACCCCUUCUCGACUAAAAAUACAAAAAUUAACCCGUCAUGGUGUUGCCUGCCUGUAAUCCCAGCUACUUGGGAGGUUGAGGCAGGAGACUCGCUUCAACCCAGAAGGUGGAGGUUGCAGUGAGCUGAGAUCAUGCACUGCACUCCAGCCUGGGUGACAGAUUGAGACUCCAUCUAAAAAAAAAUAAGUAAAGUUUUACAUGACGCAGGAGCCUUCAGCAAUAAAGACCCAGGGAAAACCUUUAUUAAUUAUUUAUUUUUGAGAUGGGAGUCUCGAUCUGUCACCCAGGCUGGAGUGUAGUGGCACAAUCUUUGCUCACUGUAACCUCUGCCUCCCAGGUUCAAGCGAUUCUGCUGCCUCAGCCUCCCGAGUAGCUGGGAUUACAUGUGUGUGCCACCACGCCCAGCUAAUUUUAGUAUUUUUAGUACAGACAGGGUUUCACCAUGUUGGCCAAGCUGGUCAUGAAGUCUUGACCUCAGGUGAUGCGCCCACCUCGGCCUCCCAAAGUGCUGAGAUUACAGGCGUGAGACACCGUGCCCGGCGUGAAAACCUUUAUUCUUAUAUUUAGGUUUGACGAGUGAACAGGCAUGCAGAAAUGUGGUUGGACACACAGGCUCUGGCCUAACGUCCGUCUAACUGGUGAUGGACACAGUGGGGAAACCCAGCAAGGCCACUGUGCACAAUUCCCCUUCCCCUGAGGAUAGGGCAGGACCCCUCGGGAAUGAGGGUCUUCCAGGGAGGAGGGAGUGACCUUGCUAGGUUUUAUGGCUGGCUUUGGGAGAGAGGAGUUCUAGUUUCUAUGACCUGCUGUGAGAAAAAGAAUUGUGGUUUCUGGGACUCACUUUGCGGCAGAAAAGUAGGCAGGAACCAGGAGGGAAGGACAAAGACCUGGCUUCUGAGGCCUUCCAGUCUCCUCUGGGUCAGAGUAGUCUGCAUGCCAAGGUGCCAUACUUUGGGGUUUAAUGAGCCCUGACAGCAGGUCCUUGCAGAUUUCACAGGCAACUUGUGAUCCCAGUAAUUGGGUUUCAGUCCCCCAAUUUCAGAGGACUUUAGCAAAGCCUGGUUGAAAUGGCCAAGUGUCGGCCGGGCACGGUGGCUCACGCCUAUAAUCCCAGCACUUUUGGAGGCCGAGGCAGGCAGAUCACGAGUUCAGGAGAUCGAGACCUGGCCAACACGGUGAAACCCUGUCUCUACUAAAAAUACAAAAACAUUAGCUGGGCGUGGUGGCAGGCGCCUGUAGUCCCAGCUACUCGGGAGGCUGAGGCAGGAGAAUGGCGUGAACCUGGGAGGUGGAGCUUGCGGUGAACCGAGAUGGUGCCACUGCACUCCAGCCUGGGCUACAGAGCGAGACUCCGUCUCAGAAAAAAAAAAAGAAAAGAAAUACCCACCGUGACUUUUGCUGUGAGGCAUGAAAAUAUAAGGAGGUAGGAGCCUGAGGUGCCUGUGGCCACCCGGCUGGAGGUGGGUGGGCCGCGCUUGUCAGCUUGCUUGGCGGAACGUUCCUUUAGUUGGGAGGGAGUGCCUUUCCUGAAGCAAUCCUUGGGCUGGACAUGCUGAUCCUGAAUGAGUCCUAAGAGUACGCGUUUCCCAAUACCCGGAGAAAACAGCAAGCCUGUGUUCCCAGCCAGCGCUGGUGGCAGCUGGGUUCCAGGCAGGUGGAGCCGACGUGGUCUGGAGCUGGCAGCCACACUCUGGCACCUCCUCAGGCGGUUUUCAAGGGUGGGUUCCAGCCAGGGAGCCCUAUGCAGGCGUGGCAUGGUGCCACGGGAGGACGGUCUCGGGGUGGGUGGAUAAGGACCCUCCUUGCCUGCUCCUGACAGGCCGUGUGCUGCAGGCCACUUUCAAUAACCCACGUUCUCAAAACCAUCAGGUCCCCACUUCGCUGGCACACAGUGUCAAUUGGGGUGUCCUGCAGGGUGGGUGAGGGGUGCUGGGGACUCCCCUGGCCUUGUCACCCAGACCCCCACCCAACCUUAGGGUCCCUGCACUCAGCGGCUGUUCUGGGGUGUAGGGACCAGCCCCACAGGGUCGGUGGGUCUCUCCCCAUGUGCAGAGAUGAGAGAGUGUAGAAAUAGAGACACAAGACAGAGAUGAAAGACAGCUGGGCCUGGGGGACCACUACCACCAAGUUGUGGAGACCGGUAGCGGCCCCGAAUGCCAGGCUGCACUGAUAUUAUUGGAUACAAGACAAAGGGGCAGUGUAAGGAAUGUGAGCCGUCUCCAAUGAUAGGUAAGGUCACGUGGGUCACGUGUCCACUGGACAGGGGGCCCUUCCCUGCCUGGCAGCCAAGGCAGAGAGAGAGAGAGGAGAAGGAGAGAAACAGCUUACAUUAUUAUUUCUGCUUAUCAGAGACUUUUAGUACUUUCACUAAUUUGCUACUGCUAACUAAACGGCAGAGCCAGGUGUACAGGAUGGAACGUGAAGGCGGACUAGGAGCGUGACCACUGAAGCACAGCAUCACAGGGAGACGGUUAGGCCUCCGGAUAACUGCGGGCGAGCCUGACUGAUGUCAGGCCCUCCACAGGAGGUGGAGGAGUAGAGUCUUCUCUAAACUCCCCUGGGGAAAGGGAGACUCUUUCCCGGUCCGCUAAGUAGCGGGUGUUUUUCCUUGACACUAACGCUACCGCUAGACCACGGUCCGCUUGUCAACAGGCGUCUUCCCAGAUGCUGGCGUUACCGCUAGACCAAGGAGCCCUCUGGUGGCCCUGUCUGGGCAUAACAGAAGGCUCGCACUCUUGUCUUCUGGUCACACCUCACUCACUAUGUCCCCUCAGCUCCUAUCUCUGUAUGGCCUAGCUUUUCCUAGGUUAUGAUUAUAGAGCGAGGAUUAUUAUAAUAUUGGAAUAAAGAGUAAUUGCUAUAAACUAAUGAUUCAUGAUUCAUAUAUAAUCAUAUCUAAGAUCUAUGUCUGGUAUAACUAUUCUUAUAUUUUAUUAUACUGGAACAGCUCGUGUCCUCAGUCUCUUGCCUUGGCACCCGGGUGGCUUGCCGCCCACAUGGGGCCAGGCAUGCUGGACCCCCCUCAGUGCACAUGCCAGAGCCCAAUUCUCUCCUGAGUCUGGGGAAAUUGAUGCUGCUGAGGACACCACUGUUCUCAGAGUCGUCUCUGCUCGUGGACUCUUCUCAGCGCAGAUGUAGCACCUG